GGGCACUUCUGCCAGGCCCCUUUGAAGGCCAUCAAAAGGUCCCCAGUGGCCUCUGGAGCACACCCAGCGUGCACAUGAGGGUGAGAAGGACAAAGGAGUGAGUGACUAUUGAACUGCUGACCCUCUGACCACUUCAGAACCAGACUAGCCAACUAACCUUCUUAAAAAAUUCCAGACAUCAAUUUUUCUCUCCACUCCUGAGCAAAUCUAUGGGGACAUGUUUUCCACAUCAAACCCUGUAUGAAAUUCUGCAUACAAGAUGCAAUGCAGUAUGACAGAUGUCCAUGAGGACAACGCUAAUGAAAUGUGAUUUUGUCAUGAGCAGUAAAAACCUGGACAUCAACAGCAGUGCCAGAAUAGAUGCUGAUGCUAUUUUUCUUGUAGUUUUAGAGAAAAUGAACACCAAGACAGGGAUCCUGAAUAACACAGAAAUGAAUCUUGAUCUUUUAUUCUAAAGGACAUUCCAGGUCAGAAGUGUGUCCUAAUUGAUGUGGCAUGGCAGAGUAUGGCUCAUUUUCAGCACAGCUUGCAGGAGAAUUGAACGACUUUGAUCACUAUUAAUAGGAGUCCUACCCCCUAUCUCUGCUCAGUGUGUGCUGAAGAUUUGCCCCAAUGUCAGGACAUAUUUGCAACACUAAUAAAAGCCUUUGAG
Molecule: long non-coding RNA, 652 nt
Filed under: Junco hyemalis (dark-eyed junco)
Lineage: Eukaryota; Metazoa; Chordata; Aves; Passeriformes; Passerellidae
Description: lncRNA (ENSJHYG00000017255.1)
Source: RNAcentral